Mytilus californianus (California mussel) is the source of this 1296-nucleotide long non-coding RNA. RefSeq lists it as uncharacterized. The record is from RefSeq and is a predicted model, not a curated record. Lineage: Eukaryota; Metazoa; Mollusca; Bivalvia; Mytilida; Mytilidae. The transcript is spliced from 5 exons.
ACUUGCUUGCCCCUCAUUAAAAAAAAAUCGCCCCACUUGUGAAAAGGAUUAAAUCCUGUUAAAUAUACAAUGUACUCCUGCCAACAGUGGCAACUUGCCUAACUUGGGUAAAAUCCAAAUGAAUAUAAUCAUGAUAAUAUAUAAUAAAUAUAUUAUAAACAGAUAAAGGUCUACCAACUCGCCCUACAUGUACUUUAAAAAAAUGAAAACUUAUCUACCCAGAAUUUAAAAAAAAAAUUGAAAUUUAAUAUAUGAUAUUUAUUGAAUUUAAAUGAUGUUUCACUUCUUAAAAUAUAAUUGUAGAUUCAUUAUUUACUAUUAUUUAAUUUAUGUAUUUAUUUGAAAAUAACUUUAUUCUUGCAUUAGCUUAGUUAUUUGCAAAAUAAUUGCAAAGAAACCUGUUAAUUGUAUCAUAAUCUAUCUGAUUGUUUUUUAGCCGACUCAAAAUCAUGCUGUUAAUUAGGGCCCCCUGUUGUACAUGUACUUAGGAAUCGGACACCUCCAGAAGAUGAAAGAUCUACUUUACAUCUUUUUCAACGAAAGUACAAUUACUUUGAGAAGUAGGAGAAGCUAAGCAACAGGACAGAAUUCAUUUGAGGCAUUGCUUUCUAGAUUAUAUAGUGGAGUCAUAGAUUGUCCUAUUGAUUUAUGUGGAUAUGAGGAGCAGUAGUCAAUGAAUAAUUUUGUGAUGAGAGCUGUACAUUGUAUUACAACAAAUGGACAGAGGAGUUGACUAUUGAUAGUGACUGAUAAUGGACUGGAGUAACCUAGGGUCCAAUGACUCCAUGCCUGACAGUCCAUGUGUACAUAAUUAGCUCCUCAGAUGUAAGUGGAAGGGAAGCUAUAUACAUUAUAUGUUUAAAUGAAAUUAACAACAGGAUUAGAUAUUGAGGAUAUCCUAUAGCUACAGUAUAUAUAAAUGUAACUACAACUGUAUUCCAAGAGUCUGAUGGCUGAUAAUGUAUUACAGAAUUUUAUCAUUCAAGCAACAUCUUAGAAGGAUAAGUGCAAAUGUAUGAAGGAAGCCUUGGGUACAAAUAGCAAUUACAGCAAUUACAUGCAGGAGAGAACUCUUAACAUUACUAACAGACAUGUAGUUGUUAUAUGGGAGUGGUGUAUUCAAGAAAUCUAAAACACAUGGAAUUAAAUAUCGUGUAUAUUUUUUCAACCACAAGUACUCUCAGAAUAUAAUACAAUUCAAAUUCAAAUUAUUGUGCCAACAUGACAAUUACAGUCUAAAAAUGGAAAAUGCAUGUUUUAAACUGAUUUUUAUAUAAAUAUUUGAAAUAACAAGAA